RNAcentral lists this ribosomal RNA (492 nucleotides) under uncultured bacterium. Its description in RNAcentral is "partial 16S ribosomal RNA". It matches the Rfam family "Bacterial small subunit ribosomal RNA", at positions 29 to 507 of the family's 1533-position model. The record is from RNAcentral.
AGUGAACGCUGGCGGUAGGCCUAACACAUGCAAGUCGAACGGCAGCACAGUAAGAGCUUGCUCUUACGGGUGGCGAGUGGCGGACGGGUGAGGAAUACAUCGGAAUCUACUUUUUCGUGGGGGAUAACGUAGGGAAACUUACGCUAAUACCGCAUACGACCUACGGGUGAAAGCAGGGGAUCUUCGGACCUUGCGCGAUUGAAUGAGCCGAUGUCGGGUUAGCUAGUUGGCGGGGUAAAGGCCCACCAAGGCGACGAUCCGUAGCUGGUCUGAGGGGAUGAUCAGCCACACUGGAACUGAGACACGGUCCAGACUCCUACGGGAGGCAGCAGUGGGGAAUAUUGGACAAUGGGCGCAAGCCUGAUCCAGCCAUACCGCGUGGGUGAAGAAGGCCUUCGGGUUGUAAAGCCCUUUUGUUGGGAAAGAAAAGCAGCAGGUUAAUACCCCGCUGUUCUGACGGUACCCAAAGAAUAAGCACCGGCUAACUUCGUG